CUUUGUGAGGAGUUUCUGGACUACCAGACCAUGGACAUUGCCAUGCCCGACGACCCAGCAAUGUUUGACUUUGAGAGAUUUUGGGGGAACAUGGCAUCAAUGAAGAACAAGGUGACCGGUAUGAGCAGAUUUGGCAGGCUGUCUUAGAUAUUAGAAGAGCCGAAUUAAAUCCUCCCUUCGUCGUAGAGCUCGAGCAUGUGGCGCCUGUGGCCAGGGAUCUCUGGGCAUCGGGUCAUCUGGCUGCAGGUCGGCAAAUGGCACCCCAUUUGCCAGCGCAAUAUUAUGCAGAACCCC
Molecule: long non-coding RNA, 294 nt
Organism: Gadus morhua (Atlantic cod)
Lineage: Eukaryota; Metazoa; Chordata; Actinopteri; Gadiformes; Gadidae
Exons: 2
Source: RefSeq, a predicted model, not a curated record